UGUAACUGUCACUUUGUUCUGCAUCACGUCUUUGGGAUCUUGACACGCUGUGGGCUUAAGGGGAAAUUUGGCCCAAUAAAAUUGGACUGUGUUUUAUAAUUCAGCAUUAAUUAAUAUAUGUGUGUGUGUGUGUGUGUGUGUGUGUGUGUGUGUGUGUGUGUGUGUGUGUGUGUACAUGCGAGGACAGGGUCAGAAGUGCAGCAGGGUGACUGCUGCCACCAACCUGGCUUUA
This is a long non-coding RNA of Etheostoma cragini (Arkansas darter), 232 nucleotides long. RefSeq lists it as uncharacterized. Lineage: Eukaryota; Metazoa; Chordata; Actinopteri; Perciformes; Percidae. The transcript is spliced from 3 exons. The record is from RefSeq and is a predicted model, not a curated record.